RNAcentral lists this ribosomal RNA (277 nucleotides) under uncultured microorganism. RNAcentral describes it as "partial 16S ribosomal RNA". It matches the Rfam family "Bacterial small subunit ribosomal RNA", at positions 346 to 610 of the family's 1533-position model. The record is from RNAcentral.
GCGCACCAGUCGAGAAUUCUUCCACAAUUGGACGAAAGUCUGAUGGAGCGACGCCGCGUGCGGGAGUGAAGGCCUUAUGGGUUGUAAACCGCUGUCAGGGGAGAAGAACAUCGGAAUGAACAAUACUCAUUCCGACUGACGUUACCCCCAGAGGAAGCUCCGGCCAACUCCGUGCCAGCAGCCGCGGUAAUACGGGGGGAGCAAGCGUUGUCCGGAAUUAUUGGGCGUAAAGGGCGUGUAGGCGGCGAGGUAAGUCGAAUGUGAAAUCUCACGGCUC